AACAGGCUUAUCUCCUCUGAGCGUUCAUAGCGGCGAGGAGGUUUGGCACCUCGAUGUCGGCUCAUCACAUCCUGGGGCUGAAGCAGGUCCCAAGGGUUUGGCUGUUCGCCAAUUAAAGCGGUACGCGAGCUGGGUUCAGACCGGCGUGAGCCAGGUCGGUCCCUAUCUGCUGUGGGUGUGGGAACUUUGACGGCGAU
RNAcentral lists this ribosomal RNA (197 nucleotides) under uncultured Dinobryon. RNAcentral describes it as "partial Bacterial large subunit ribosomal RNA". It matches the Rfam family "Bacterial large subunit ribosomal RNA", at positions 2476 to 2672 of the family's 2925-position model. Lineage: Eukaryota; Chrysophyceae; Chromulinales. The record is from RNAcentral.